GGCGCUCCGCUCCGGGUGGGCAGUGAGUCACCACACACCGGAUGCAGCCAGGCCCUCCGCGCACCCUGAACUUUCGGCGCUCGGCCCCUCCCUGGUCCCGCGCGCGUUUCAGUACUCGGCGAUCAGGUACUCCUCCCCGCCGUCCUCCAGCACCUCAGCCGGCGCCCUCCUCCUGGCAGUGCCCGGGCCUGCCUGCCCUGGGUCCUCCAACUCGUCCUCGGGGACGAGGACCCGCAAGUCCAGCCCAGCGUUCCAAGAGCGCUCGCCUUUCCGGCGGUGAGCAGGUGCCCACCCCGCCCCCCUGCCUGGGCGUUUCCCACCCUCCUCCCCACCAAAGUGCUUGCCAGCCUGCAUUCCCUGGCCCACAGCAGUGCAACUGAAAGGGGACUCCUGGAAGUACUAGGACUUGAACAUAACCCUGAGUAAAAGGUUUUAGACACCGCCUCAUCAUGUGUGAGGGACUGAUGGAGAGGUAUGUGGCUGCCAUGGUGCUGAGCGCAGCUGGAGAUGCCUUAGGGUACUUCAAUGGGAAGUGGGAGUUUCUUCGGGAUGGAGAAAAGAUUCACCAGCAGCUGGCCCAGCUUGGUGGGUUGGACACCAUAGAUGUGGAGAGGUGGAGAGUCAGCGAUGACACAGUAAUGCACCUGGCCACGGCAGAAGCUCUUGUGGAAGCUGGGAAAAUCUUGGAUUUGGCUCACCUGUAUUCCCUACUUGCUAAGCAUUACCAAGACUGCAUGGGAGACAUGGAUGGCCGAGCACCUGGGGGUGCUUCAGUGCAGAAUGCCAUGCUACUGGAGCCAGACAAGGCCAAUGGCUGGAGGAUUCCCUUUAACAAGCACGAGGGCGGCUGCGGGGCUGCCAUGCGUGCUAUGUGCAUCGGUCUCAGGUUCCCCCACCAUGGACAGCUGGACACGCUGAUCCAGGUGAGCAUCGAGAGUGGCAGGAUGACCCAUCACCACCCUACAGGCUACCUGGGAGCUCUUGUUUCUGCUCUUUUUACAGCCUAUGCUGUGAACAACAAGCCUCCCAGGCAGUGGGGAAAAGAAAUGAUGGAGGUGCUACCAGAAGCUAAAAAGUACAUUAUCCAAUCAGGCUACUUUUUGGAGAAGAAUCUUCAACACUGGGGUCAGCUUCACUCCAGCUCUGAGACCUCCAGCUCAGCAAUGCCCCCCGGCCUAGGGGACAGAAGCUUCUGUUCGUGGGGACUCCUUUUGUGGCUCAGCAUUGGAAGUGCAGGAGAUGCACCUCCUAUCCCACAGACAAAGUGCACUGACUUCCAGAAUGCUAAUCUUCUCCAAGGCACCAAUCUCAAAGUCCAGUUUCUCCUCUUCACCCCUUUGGAUCCUAGCUGUGGUCAGCUAGUGCAGGAAAGUAGUGACAUCCAAAAGUCUGGGUUCAAUGCCUCUCUGGGAACUAAACUAAUCAUCCAUGGAUUCAGGGCUUUAGGUACAAAGCCUUCUUGGAUUGAUAAAUUCAUCGGUGCCCUUCUUCAAGCAGCAAAUGCUAAUGUGAUUGCUGUGGACUGGGUUUAUGGCUCUACGGGUAUCUACUUCUCAGCCGUGCAGAAUGUGGUUAAGCUGGGCCUAGAGAUCUCCCGUUUCCUCAAGAAACUACUGGUAUUGGGUGUGUCGAAGUCCUCAAUCCACAUCAUUGGUGUUAGCCUGGGAGCCCACGUUGGGGGCGUGGUGGGAUAUUUCUACGAAGGCCAGUUAGGACGGAUCACAGGCCUGGACCCCGCUGGACCAGAGUACACCAGAGCCAGCCUGGAGGAGCGCCUGGACCCUGGAGAUGCCCUCUUUGUGGAGGCCAUCCACACAGACACUGACAAUGCGGGUAUUCGGAUUCCUGUUGGACACGUGGACUACUUCGUCAAUGGAGGCCAAGACCAACCUGGCUGUCCCACCUUCAUUCAUGCAGGUUACAGUUACCUGAUCUGUGAUCACAUGAGGGCCGUGUACCUCUACAUCAGUGCCCUGGAGAAUUCCUGUCCAUUGAUGGCCUUUCCCUGUGCCAACUACAAGGCCUUUCUUGCUGGAAAAUGUCUGGAUUGUUUUAACCCCUUUCUGCUUUCCUGCCCAAGGAUUGGGCUGAUGGAACAAAGUGGUGUUAAGAUACAGCCGCUUCCCAAGGAAGUGAAAGUGUACCUCCGGACCACUUCCAUGGCUCCGUACUGUGAACUCCUGUUGCCAUGUGAUAUGGAGCCCAAAGUUCAGAUUGUGGUCAUGCAGACUUGGACUUGAAUGUCAGCUUCUCCACCUACCAGAUGUGUCAUCAGAAGCAAGUUACUUAACCUGGCUGAACUCUCCAUCCUUAUGUAGAAAAUGGGAACAACAACAGUAUCUACUUUAAAGAAUCAAUUGUGAGGGUAAAAUAAAAUAGUAUACAGGAAGUUGCUAGCACAGUGACUAGAGCUUGAUAAGUAAUAAUUCCCUUCCUUUUAUCAUUCAGAGAACUGGGGGAGACUAGAUGCGGGUGUUUAUCAUUCUAGAGAGAAUUCAUGGCUACCUCUUAGGAACAAGUGGAUUAUAAGAGUCGACUGUGGGCUUCUCACAUAUAUCUGCUCAUUUGACAACCCCACUCUAGUUAGCUGUGAGGACGGGGAGGUUCUGAGAGAUUAAGCCUUGUGCCCAAGGGUACACAGUGGUGUGGAAAAGGCAGAAUUCAACUCAGGUCUUCUGACUCCAAAAUCUAUAUUCUUUCCAUGUCACCACCUGCCUCCACACUGGCUUCUUUGCCUCUGCUUCUGAGAAUCUGCUCUUUACAACCAUAUUUCUUGGAUCCUCUUCUGUCCUCACCACCCCCUCCAGAGGUCAGCCUGGGGGAGGAUGCUUUGUCCAGUGGUGGAGGCAGCGAUGCCAGGACCAGAUGUCCAGUUUUACUUCCAGUUCUGGGACAGCUUCACAGCAACCUGAACUGGCUCCUUCCUGUCUGCGCAGCCGGGGACACACAUGGCAGGGAGCCUGGGGCACGCUUGAGGCUAGAGGCAUUUCAAAGUCCCUGCUGAGGCAGACUCACAUAGCUAUAAUUUUUCUGACUGUUUCGUAUUUGUUGUGAGACUCCCUCUCCAUGCCCCAGAAGCAUGGCCCUGUCUGUUCAAAAACCUCACAGAGCUACAGAAAGAAAUAAACCAGCCUGAGUACCUGCUUUUCUGCAUGCUCUGCGCCUUGCAAUUCUGAGCUUUUUGUUCUGAGCUCUGAAGCUAGGAGUCUCCUCUACCUGGAGGGAUAAGCCAUCCACUUGGUAGUUUGGGUAGUACCAACGGCCUGCAGUUCCCGCUGUCACCCACUCCCAGGCCCCACGCACUGGGUGCCCAUUGCCCCACUUGGCCUGCCUGGGUCUCAGCGGAGUUCAAUAGGACAGUGGUCGCCCUUGACCCCUGCCAGACAUGCACCAGCAGGGCAGAGAACCUUCUCCAAAUAGUUUUUCUAACAGUAUUACUUUUCCCUUUAUAGAACAGUGUUUCACACAAAGUGCUUUCUCUCCAUUACCUCAUUUAAUCCUUGCCAAUGUUCUGUGAGGUGACAUCGAGGGUUGUAGAUGAAGGAGCCAAGACACAGAGAGGUUCAGUGACUUAGGGAAAGGAAACAGCGAGUAAGCAGCGGGGCCAGGCCUUGGAUCCAGAUCUCCUGAUCAACCAUCCAGGGCUCUGUCUGCUGCCUCCCAUGUCUGACUCCUGCACCGGAGAUUGGAUUCCGCUACUGAUUCCCACCCAUCCAGUGUUAGUAGACCUGACCCUCUUGGGGCUUCCAGAUAAUAUAAAGAGAGAAGCAGAACUUUAGGAAACUUUCUUAAUGAGUGAGAUCUGCUGGCAAAGGAAGAAGUGGUAUAAUAUGUAAAAGUAAGCCCUGAGAAUUCAAUUCCUAAAGCUUACGUAAUUUAGCUUUUUUUCCAGAUUUCAGUUACCCACUACAAUUUAGCUCUUGCCCAUUAUCUUAACAGUCUGCAUCCUCUAGCAAACAACUGAGAAAGAGACAGAAGGGGCAUGGCAUUGGAUGUGUUCCUCUGUGGAGAGGAAGCAUACGGUGCUCUCUUUUCUUCCAUGUGGGUUCUUGGCAUCUUAGCACCUGUCAGUGAGUCUUGUUACCAACUCCAUUAGCCCAGAUGGAUCAUAGCUCUCCUCCAGCUUAGUGGUGAGUCUACCAAAAUCCAUUUGAUGUCCCCCCAAUAUUUGCCUUUAAAACAUGACAAAUGAAAAAGUACAAGUAGGGCAGAAGUGAAGAAUUGCCUGUCCAGCUAUGUCCCGAUCACCAAAGAAGUCUGUGGAAAUGCCCCAAGACUAAAGAUACUGCAAAAUGCCACCAGAUGGGUCUCCCCCUUAAUAAGGAAAGGAUAGGAGGUUAGGGAAGCUGUAAUUCUUAACUUCUCUUGCCAGAGAGACAGCAGGGGCAUCACCAUGAGCCAGGCUCCUCGUCUGGUUUAUGUCAGUGACGCAAGUUUGAGAGCCCCAGGAUCGAUGCUGCCUGGGAGGGUGGAGAUGCCAUACAGGCACCCAGCUGCCACAGAGAGGGAAAUAGUCAUCUCCUACACACAAGUGGGCUCCCUGACACUGUGCAUAUGGAGGGUUAUUUUAGGAGUUAAUUAUUUAGUAUAAGAAAGAUCUUUUCAGUUCUUUUAAAAUCACACCACCGAGAUAAUGUCAUCAAGCAGAGAGGAGUGGGACAUUCUAGCAUUAUAGGUAAUAAUAAAAACUAACAUGUAUUGAAUGCUUCCUAGGCACAGACACUGUCUAAGGACUUUUGUAUUAACUCAUUUAACUCUCAUUCAGACCCAUUUUUAUUAUCCCCAAUUUACAAUGAGGAAGCUAAGGAACUGGGAUGACAGAUAAUCUGCUGCUAGUCACACGGCUGUUAAGAGGUAGAUCUCAGAUCUCUGCACUGCUGCUCUCCGGGGCUUUUUGCAUGUUGCACCCACUGACCUCUGGCCCAGGCAUCUGCUCUGCUUUGGUUUCCCAGUGCAUCACAGCCUCGUGGAGUUUUACUUGCAGGAGCCAAGAAAGAAGGAUACCUGUAUCUCCAUCACCUUCCUUAGCAGCAAUGUUACUUCCUCGGUCGAGAUCACCAUACCUAGACAGCAACUCCAGGGGAGAGGAAUCAUAGCUCACA
Molecule: RNA transcript, 5102 nt
Organism: Prionailurus viverrinus (fishing cat)
Lineage: Eukaryota; Metazoa; Chordata; Mammalia; Carnivora; Felidae
Gene name: ADP-ribosylhydrolase ARH1
Exons: 14
Source: RefSeq, a predicted model, not a curated record